GGCAAACCCGGUGAACUGAAACAUCUAAGUAACCGGAGGAAAGGACAUCAACCGAGACUCCGUUAGUAGCGGCGAGCGAAAGCGGACCAGGCCAGUAACUCAAUUGUAAGAACCGGAAUUGUCUGGAAAGGCAAGCCAUAGUAGGUGAUAGCCCUGUACGGGUAGAAAAUAGUUGAGUUCUUGAGUAAGGCGGGACACGUGAAAUCCUGUCUGAACGUGGGGGGACCACCCUCCAAGCCUAAGUACUACUUAGUGACCGAUAGUGAACUAGUACCGUGAGGGAAAGGUGAAAAGUACCCCGAUGAGGGGAGUGAAAUAGUACCUGAAACUGGAUGCCUACAAGCAGUGGGAGCACCUUUAAGGUGUGACCGCGUACCUUUUGUAUAAUGGGUCAGCGACUUAAUCUAUGUAGCAAGCUUAAGCCGUUAGGUGUAGGCGAAGCGAAAGCGAGUCUUAAUAGGGCGAAUUAGUUGCAUGGAUUAGACCCGAAGCCGAGUGAUCUAGCUAUGGGCAGGUUGAAGGUGAGGUAACACUUACUGGAGGACCGAACCCACCUAUGUUGAAAAAUGGGGGGAUGACCUGUGGCUAGGGGUGAAAGGCCAAUCAAACUCGGAAAUAGCUGGUUCUCCGCGAAAUCUAUUUAGGUAGAGCGUUAUGUGAUUGCCGCCGGGGGUAGAGCACUGGAUGGGCUAGGGGGACCCAAAGUCUUACCAAACCUAACCAAACUCCGAAUACCGGUGAGUACAGCGCAGCAGACAGACAUAGGGUGCUAAGGUCCUAUGUCGAAAGGGAAACAGCCCAGACCGCCAGCUAAGGUCCCUAAGUUAUGGCUAAGUGGAAAAGGAAGUGAGAAGGCCAAGACAGCCAGGAGGUUGGCUUAGAAGCAGCCAUCCUUUAAAGAAAGCGUAACAGCUCACUGGUCUAGUUAAGCCGUUUUGCGCCGAAGAUGUAUCGGGGCUCAAGCCAUACACCGAAGCUGCGGACUUCAGUUUACUGGAGUGGUAGCGGAGCGUUCCGUAAGCCUGUGAAGGUGUGCUGCGAGGCAUGCUGGAGGUAUCGGAAGUGAGAAUGCUGACAUGAGUAGCGACAAGGAGUGUGAGAAACACUCCCGCCGAAAGUCCAAGGGUUCCUGCGCAAGGCUAAUCCGCGCAGGGUGAGCCGGCCCCUAAGGCGAGGGCGAAAGCCGUAGUCGAUGGGAACCAGGUUAAUAUUCCUGGGCCUGCUGGAAGUGACGGAUACUGAUAGUUGUUCAUGCUUAUUGGAUUGUGUGGGCAGCGUNGGUGUUCCAGGAAAUAACUCCAGCGUAUAGACCGUACCCUAAACCGACACAGGUGGACAGGUAGAGUAUACCAAGGCGCUUGAGAGAACGAUGUUGAAGGAACUCGGCAAAUUGCACCCGUAACUUCGGGAUAAGGGUGACCUCUAUAUGGGCAACCGUUUAGAGGUGGCACAAAAGAGGGGGUGGCGACUGUUUACUAAAAACAUAGGGCUCUGCAAAGUCGCAAGACGAAGUAUAGGGUCUGACGCCUGCCCGGUGCCGGAAGGUUAAGGAGAGGGGUGNAAGCUCNGAACCGAAGCCCCGGUAAACGGCGGCCGUAACAAUAACGGUCCUAAGGUAGCGAAAUUCCUUGUCGGGUAAGUUCCGACCUGCACGAAUGGCGUAACGACUUCCCCACUGUCUCCAACAUCGACUCAGCGAAAUUGAACUCUCCGUGAAGAUGCGGAGUAACCGCGGUUAGACGGAAAGACCCCGUGCACCUUUACUAUAGCUUUGCAGUGGUAUUAGAAAAUAAAUGUGUAGGAUAGGUGGGAGCCUUUGAAGCGUUAGCGCCAGUUAGUGUGGAGGCAUCCUUGAAAUACCACCCUUUUGUUUUCUGAUAUCUAACCGAGGCCCGUGAAACCGGGUCCGGGACCCUGCAUGGUGGGUAGUUUGACUGGGGCGGUCGCCUCCCAAAGAGUAACGGAGGCGCGCGAAGGUAGGCUCAAGCUGGUCGGAAAUCAGCUGUUGAGUGCAAUGGCAUAAGCCUGCCUGACUGCGAGAGCGACAGUUCGAGCAGAGACGAAAGUCGGUCAUAGUGAUCCGGUGGUCCUGAGUGGAAGGGCCAUCGCUCAACGGAUAAAAGGUACGCCGGGGAUAACAGGCUGAU
This 2147-nucleotide ribosomal RNA is filed under the name metagenome. RNAcentral's name for it is "bacterial LSU rRNA". It matches the Rfam family "Bacterial large subunit ribosomal RNA", at positions 178 to 2486 of the family's 2925-position model. The record is from RNAcentral.